RNAcentral lists this ribosomal RNA (271 nucleotides) under uncultured prokaryote. RNAcentral's name for it is "partial 16S ribosomal RNA". It matches the Rfam family "Bacterial small subunit ribosomal RNA", at positions 524 to 794 of the family's 1533-position model. The record is from RNAcentral.
UACGUAGGGUGCGAGCGUUGUCCGGAAUUAUUGGGCGUAAAGAGCUCGUAGGUGGUUUGUCGCGUCGUCUGUGAAAUUCCGGGGCUUAACCCCGGACUUGCAGUGGGUACGGGCAGACUAGAGUGUGGUAGGGGAGACUGGAAUUCCUGGUGUAGCGGUGAAAUGCGCAGAUAUCAGGAGGAACACCGAUGGCGAAGGCAGGUCUCUGGGCCACUACUGACGCUGAGAAGCGAAAGCAUGGGGAGCGAACAGGAUUAGAUACCCGCGUAGU